GACGAACGCUGGCGGCGUGCUUAACACAUGCAAGUCGAACGGAAAGGCCCUGCUUUUGUGGGGUGCUCGAGUGGCGAACGGGUGAGUAACACGUGAGUAACCUGCCCUUGACUUUGGGAUAACUUCAGGAAACUGGGGCUAAUACCGGAUAGGAGCUCCUGCUGCAUGGUGGGGUUGGAAAGUUUCGGCGGUUGGGGAUGGACUCGCGGCCUAUCAGCUUGUUGGUGGGGUAGUGGCUUACCAAGGCUUUGACGGGUAGCCGGCCUGAGAGGGUGACCGGCCACAUUGGGACUGAGAUACGGCCCAGACUCCUACGGGAGGCAGCAGUGGGGAAUAUUGCACAAUGGGCGGAAGCCUGAUGCAGCAACGCCGCGUGCGGGAUGACGGCCUUCGGGUUGUAAACCGCUUUCGCCUGUGACGAAGCGUGAGUGACGGUAAUGGGUAAAGAAGCACCGGCUAACUACGUG
RNAcentral lists this ribosomal RNA (467 nucleotides) under uncultured bacterium. RNAcentral describes it as "partial 16S ribosomal RNA". It matches the Rfam family "Bacterial small subunit ribosomal RNA", at positions 28 to 507 of the family's 1533-position model. The record is from RNAcentral.